UUUCCUGCCUGGUGCGUGGACUUUGAAUUUUUAGAACCAACAAAUAGAUUAAAGGGAGUCUGCCUUUGGAUGUGGCGUGUAUGCUUAAAUUUUAUUUAAGAAACCCAUUAGCGUUCAACAAGAUACCCACCUGUGAAAACAGGCUCUUAAAACAUUCAAUGUUGCGGCCGAGGUGGGUAUU
RNAcentral lists this non-coding RNA (181 nucleotides) under bovine gut metagenome. Its description in RNAcentral is "6S / SsrS RNA". It matches the Rfam family "6S / SsrS RNA". From Rfam's summary of the family: E. coli 6S RNA was the first non coding RNA to be sequenced, but its function was unknown until recently. It consists of 184 nucleotides that fold into an extended hairpin structure with a large single-stranded internal bulge. The record is from RNAcentral.